ACCGGAUGCGGAUCUCGAAAGCCUGUCCCAGUUCGGACUGGAGUCUGCAACCCGACUCCACGAAGUUGGAAUUGCUAGUAAUCGCGGAUCAGCAUGCCGCGGUGAAUACGUUCCCGGGCCUUGUACACACCGCCCGUCACACCAUGAGAGUUGGGAAUACCCGAAGCCUGUGAGCUAACGAAAGAGGCAGCAGUCGAAGGUAGAAUCAAUGAUUGGGGUGAAGUCGUAACAAGGUACC
This 238-nucleotide ribosomal RNA is filed under the name uncultured bacterium. RNAcentral's name for it is "partial 16S ribosomal RNA". It matches the Rfam family "Bacterial small subunit ribosomal RNA", at positions 1260 to 1500 of the family's 1533-position model. The record is from RNAcentral.